AUCCGCCCUUUGUGUCCGUGGCUGCGCCGCGUGUGGGAUUAUUACGGCUCUUAUGUAAUUCUCCAGAAUGUUCCAGAAAAGGUGUGAGCGCUCUGUGGUCCGCGUGCGUGCGCGUGCACGGAGCGCAUCUCUAAAAUGCCCGCGCUGCGUCCUGCGGAGGAUCCGCAGACUCACUGACCUCCGAUCAGUCCACCUGCAGCCUGUCUGUGACGUCAGCGUGUUCCGUCCAUAUGCGUGUGUUAAAGACGAAAGAACAGCUGCUGAUAGAUCACAGCAUAAAGGAGGACUAAGGGAAUAAAGACCAAGAGCAUGA
Betta splendens (Siamese fighting fish) is the source of this 313-nucleotide long non-coding RNA. RefSeq lists it as uncharacterized. The record is from RefSeq and is a predicted model, not a curated record. The transcript is spliced from 2 exons. Lineage: Eukaryota; Metazoa; Chordata; Actinopteri; Anabantiformes; Osphronemidae.